Molecule: ribosomal RNA, 2905 nt
Filed under: Klebsiella oxytoca
Lineage: Bacteria; Pseudomonadati; Pseudomonadota; Gammaproteobacteria; Enterobacterales; Enterobacteriaceae
Also listed under: 1 other name
Description: bacterial LSU rRNA
Rfam family: Bacterial large subunit ribosomal RNA
Source: RNAcentral
UUAAGCGACUAAGCGUACACGGUGGAUGCCCUGGCAGUCAGAGGCGAUGAAGGACGUGCUAAUCUGCGAAAAGCGUCGGUAAGGUGAUAUGAACCGUUAUAGCCGGCGAUGUCCGAAUGGGGAAACCCAGUGCAAUUCGUUGCACUAUCGUUUGAUGAAUACAUAGUCAAACGAGGCGAACCGGGGGAACUGAAACAUCUAAGUACCCCGAGGAAAAGAAAUCAACCGAGAUUCCCCCAGUAGCGGCGAGCGAACGGGGAGCAGCCCGGAGUCUGAAUCAGCUUGUGUGUUAGUGGAAGCGUCUGGAAAGUCGCAGGGUACAGGGUGAUACUCCCGUACACUAAAACGCACAGGUUGUGAACUCGAAGAGUAGGGCGGGACACGUGGUAUCCUGUCUGAAUAUGGGGGGACCAUCCUCCAAGGCUAAAUACUCCUGACUGACCGAUAGUGAACCAGUACCGUGAGGGAAAGGCGAAAAGAACCCCGGCGAGGGGAGUGAAAAAGAACCUGAAACCGUGUACGUACAAGCAGUAGGAGCCUCUUUAUGGGGUGACUGCGUACCUUUUGUAUAAUGGGUCAGCGACUUAUAUUCUGUAGCAAGGUUAACCGUAUAGGGGAGCCGCAGGGAAACCGAGUCUUAACUGGGCGUUAAGUUGCAGGGUAUAGACCCGAAACCCGGUGAUCUAGCCAUGGGCAGGUUGAAGGUUGGGUAACACUAACUGGAGGACCGAACCGACUAAUGUUGAAAAAUUAGCGGAUGACUUGUGGCUGGGGGUGAAAGGCCAAUCAAACCGGGAGAUAGCUGGUUCUCCCCGAAAGCUAUUUAGGUAGCGCCUCGUGAACUCAUCUUCGGGGGUAGAGCACUGUUUCGGCUAGGGGGUCAUCCCGACUUACCAACCCGAUGCAAACUACGAAUACCGAAGAAUGUUAUCACGGGAGACACACGGCGGGUGCUAACGUCCGUCGUGAAGAGGGAAACAACCCAGACCGCCAGCUAAGGUCCCAAAGUCAUGGUUAAGUGGGAAACGAUGUGGGAAGGCCCAGACAGCCAGGAUGUUGGCUUAGAAGCAGCCAUCAUUUAAAGAAAGCGUAAUAGCUCACUGGUCGAGUCGGCCUGCGCGGAAGAUGUAACGGGGCUAAACCAUGCACCGAAGCUGCGGCAGCGACACUAUGUGUUGUUGGGUAGGGGAGCGUUCUGUAAGCCGUCGAAGGUGACCUGUGAGGGUUGCUGGAGGUAUCAGAAGUGCGAAUGCUGACAUAAGUAACGAUAAUGCGGGUGAAAAACCCGCACGCCGGAAGACCAAGGGUUCCUGUCCAACGUUAAUCGGGGCAGGGUGAGUCGACCCCUAAGGCGAGGCCGAAAGGCGUAGUCGAUGGGAAACAGGUUAAUAUUCCUGUACUCGGUGUUACUGCGAAGGGGGGACGGAGAAGGCUAUGUUGGCCGGGCGACGGUUGUCCCGGUUUAAGCAUGUAGGCGGAUGUUCCAGGUAAAUCCGGAACGUUAUUAACGCUGAGGUGUGAUGACGAGGCACUACGGUGCUGAAGUGACAAAUGCCCUGCUUCCAGGAAAAGCCUCUAAGCAUCAGGUAACAUCAAAUCGUACCCCAAACCGACACAGGUGGUCAGGUAGAGAAUACCAAGGCGCUUGAGAGAACUCGGGUGAAGGAACUAGGCAAAAUGGUGCCGUAACUUCGGGAGAAGGCACGCUGAUAGGUAGGUGAAGUGGUUUACCCAUGGAGCUGAAAUCAGUCGAAGAUACCAGCUGGCUGCAACUGUUUAUUAAAAACACAGCACUGUGCAAACACGAAAGUGGACGUAUACGGUGUGACGCCUGCCCGGUGCCGGAAGGUUAAUUGAUGGGGUUAUCCGUAAGGAGAAGCUCUUGAUCGAAGCCCCGGUAAACGGCGGCCGUAACUAUAACGGUCCUAAGGUAGCGAAAUUCCUUGUCGGGUAAGUUCCGACCUGCACGAAUGGCGUAAUGAUGGCCAGGCUGUCUCCACCCGAGACUCAGUGAAAUUGAACUCGCUGUGAAGAUGCAGUGUACCCGCGGCAAGACGGAAAGACCCCGUGAACCUUUACUAUAGCUUGACACUGAACACUGGUCCUUGAUGUGUAGGAUAGGUGGGAGGCUUUGAAGUGUGGACGCCAGUCUGCGUGGAGCCAUCCUUGAAAUACCACCCUUUAAUGGCUGGUGUUCUAACGUGGGCCCCUAAUCGGGGUUGCGGACAGUGUCUGGUGGGUAGUUUGACUGGGGCGGUCUCCUCCUAAAGAGUAACGGAGGAGCACGAAGGUCAGCUAAUCCUGGUCGGACAUCAGGAGGUUAGUGCAAUGGCAUAAGCUGGCUUGACUGCGAGCGUGACGGCGCGAGCAGGUGCGAAAGCAGGUCAUAGUGAUCCGGUGGUUCUGAAUGGAAGGGCCAUCGCUCAACGGAUAAAAGGUACUCCGGGGAUAACAGGCUGAUACCGCCCAAGAGUUCAUAUCGACGGCGGUGUUUGGCACCUCGAUGUCGGCUCAUCACAUCCUGGGGCUGAAGUAGGUCCCAAGGGUAUGGCUGUUCGCCAUUUAAAGUGGUACGCGAGCUGGGUUUAGAACGUCGUGAGACAGUUCGGUCCCUAUCUGCCGUGGGCGCUGGAGAAUUGAGGGGGGCUGCUCCUAGUACGAGAGGACCGGAGUGGACGCAUCACUGGUGUUCGGGUUGUCAUGCCAAUGGCAUUGCCCGGUAGCUAAAUGCGGAAGAGAUAAGUGCUGAAAGCAUCUAAGCACGAAACUUGCCCCGAGAUGAGUUCUCCCUGACUCCUUGAGAGUCCUGAAGGAACGUUGAAGACGACGACGUUGAUAGGCCGGGUGUGUAAGCGCAGCGAUGCGUUGAGCUAACCGGUACUAAUGAACCGUGAGGCUUAACCUU